GCAGGAUAUUGCUGGCUUACGUGUGAUGGUUCAGUUUGUAGAUGACGUCAAGGAAGUAGUGGAUAUUUUGCACAAGCGUCAGGAUAUGCGAAUCAUACAGGAGCGAGAUUACAUUACUCAUAGAAAAGCAUCAGGCUAUCGUUCCUAUCAUGUGGUAGUAGAAUAUACGGUUGAUACCAUCAAUGGAGCUAAGACUAUUUUGGCAGAAAUUCAAAUUCGUACUUUGGCCAUGAAUUUCUGGGCAACGAUAGAACAUUCUCUCAACUACAAGUACCAAGGGGAUUUCCCAGAUGAGAUUAAGAAGCGACUGGAAAUUACAGCUAGAAUCGCCCAUCAGUUGGAUGAAGAAAUGGGUGAAAUUCGUGAUGAUAUCCAAGAAGCCCAGGCACUUUUUGAUCCUUUGAGUAGAAAAUUAAAUGACGGUGUAGGAAACAGUGACGAUACAGAUGAAGAAUACAGGUAAACGAAUUGAUCUGAUAGCCAAUAGAAAACCGCAGAGUCAAAGGGUUUUGUAUGAAUUGCGAGAUCGUUUGAAGAGAAAUCAGUUUAUACUCAAUGAUACCAAUCCGGAUAUUGUCAUUUCCAUUGGCGGGGAUGGUAUGCUCUUGUCGGCCUUUCAUAAGUACGAAAAUCAGCUUGACAAGGUCCGCUUUAUCGGUCUUCAUACUGGACAUUUGGGCUUCUAUACAGAUUAUCGUGAUUUUGAGUUGGACAAGCUAGUGACUAAUUUGCAGCUAGAUACUGGGGCAAGGGUUUCUUACCCUGUUCUGAAUGUGAAGGUCUUUCUUGAAAAUGGUGAAGUUAAGAUUUUCAGAGCACUCAACGAAGCCAGCAUCCGCAGGUCUGAUCGAACCAUGGUGGCAGAUAUUGUAAUAAAUGGUGUUCCCUUUGAACGUUUUCGUGGAGACGGGCUAACAGUUUCGACACCGACUGGUAGUACUGCCUAUAACAAGUCUCUUGGCGGUGCUGUUUUACACCCUACCAUUGAAGCUUUGCAAUUAACGGAAAUUGCCAGCCUUAAUAAUCGUGUUUAUCGAACACUGGGCUCUUCCAUUAUUGUGCCUAAGAAGGAUAAGAUUGAACUUAUUCCAACAAGAAACGAUUAUCAUACUAUUUCGGUUGACAAUAGCGUUUAUUCUUUCCGUAAUAUUGAGCGUAUUGAGUAUCAAAUCGACCAUCAUAAGAUUCACUUUGUCGCGACUCCUAGCCAUACCAGUUUCUGGAACCGUGUUAAGGAUGCCUUUAUCGGUGAGGUGGAUGAAUGAGGUUUGAAUUUAUCGCAGAUGAACAUGUCAAGGUUAAGACCUUUUUAAAAAAGCACGAGGUUUCUAAGGGAUUGCUGGCUAAGAUUAAGUUUCGAGGUGGAGCGAUUCUGGUCAAUAAUCAACCGCAAAAUGCAACGUAUCUAUUGGACGUUGGAGACUACGUUACCAUUUACAUUCCCGCUGAGGAAGGCUUUGAAACCUUGGAGGCUAUUGAGCAUCCAUUAGAUAUUCUCUAUGAGGAUGACCACUUUCUAGUCUUGAAUAAACCCUAUGGAGUGGCUUCUAUUCCUAGUGUCAAUCACUCUAAUACCAUUGCCAAUUUUAUCAAGGGUUACUAUGUCAAGCAAAAUUAUGAAAAUCAGCAGGUUCACAUUGUUACCAGACUAGAUAGGGACACUUCUGGCUUGAUGCUCUUUGCCAAGCACGGUUAUGCCCAUGCACGAUUAGACAAGCAGUUGCAGAAGAAAUCUAUCGAGAAACGCUACUUUGCUUUGGUUAAGGGAGAUGGACAUUUGGAGCCAGAAGGGGAAAUUAUUGCUCCGAUUGCGCGUGAUGAAGAUUCCAUUAUUACCAGACGAGUGGCUAAAGGCGGAAAGUAUGCCCAUACUUCAUACAAGAUUGUAGCUUCUUAUGGAAAUAUUCACUUGGUCUAUAUUCACCUGCACACUGGUCGAACCCAUCAAAUCCGAGUCCAUUUUUCUUAUAUCGGUUUUCCUUUGCUGGGAGAUGAUUUGUAUGGUGGUAGUCUGGAAGAUGGUAUUCAACGUCAGGCUCUGCAUUGCCAUUACCUAUCCUUUUAUCAUCCAUUUUUAGAGCAAGACUUGCAGUUAGAAAGUCCCUUGCCGGAUGAUUUCAGUAACCUUAUUACCCAGUUAUCAACUAAUACUCUAUAAAAACUGUCUCAGAGUAUAAUUAUUAUCUUAAAGGAGAAAACUCAUGGAAGUUUUUGAAAGUCUCAAAGCCAACCUUGUUGGUAAAAAUGCUCGUAUCGUUCUCCCUGAAGGGGAAGAGCCUCGUAUUCUUCAAGCAACAAAACGCUUAGUAAAAGAAACAGAAGUGAUUCCUGUUUUGCUUGGAAAUCCUGAAAAAAUUAAAAUUUAUCUUGAAAUUGAAGGAAUCAUGGAUGGUUAUGAGGUCAUCGACCCUCAACAUUAUCCUCAAUUUGAAGAAAUGGUUUCUGCCUUGGUGGAGCGUCGCAAGGGCAAAAUGACUGAAGAAGAUGUACGCAAGGUUUUGGUUGAAGAUGUCAACUACUUUGGUGUGAUGUUGGUUUACUUGGGCUUGGUUGAUGGAAUGGUGUCAGGAGCGAUUCACUCAACAGCUUCAACAGUUCGUCCAGCUCUACAAAUCAUCAAAACUCGUCCAAAUGUAACUCGUACUUCAGGAGCCUUCCUCAUGGUUCGUGGUACGGAACGUUACCUAUUUGGAGACUGUGCCAUUAACAUCAAUCCAGAUGCAGAAGCCUUGGCUGAAAUUGCCAUCAACUCAGCAAUCACAGCUAAGAUGUUUGGCAUCGAACCUAAAAUUGCCAUGUUGAGCUAUUCUACUAAAGGUUCAGGGUUUGGUGAAAGCGUUGAUAAGGUCGUUGAAGCAACUAAAAUUGCUCACGACUUGCGUCCUGACCUUGAAAUCGAUGGUGAGUUGCAAUUUGAUGCAGCCUUUGUUCCUGAAACUGCAGCUCUGAAAGCUCCUGGAAGUACGGUAGCUGGUCAAGCAAAUGUCUUCAUCUUCCCAGGUAUCGAGGCAGGAAAUAUCGGUUACAAGAUGGCUGAACGCCUGGGUGGCUUUGCGGCUGUAGGACCUGUUUUGCAAGGUUUAAACAAGCCAGUUAAUGAUCUUUCUCGUGGAUGUAAUGCAGAUGAUGUUUACAAGUUGACCCUCAUCACAGCAGCUCAAGCAGUUCAUCAAUAGUGAAAACUAUAAAGCGAUAUACUAUGCUAUACUGUAGUUAUGAAACUAUGUACGAAAAGCACUGCCAUUAAUUCCUGAGAACUAAAUUACUGAUUGGUGUCAAAAAGGAAAACUUCCAAGCGAUGAUAUCCUGUCUAUACACGACCUAUAGAAAUCUGUAAUAUACAUGUCCGUAAAACGAUAAAUUCCCUUUUUGAUUUUAAAUGAGUAUGAAAAGAGAAUUUUUUCAUGAGAAAACGCAUAAUAUUAAGUGUCUUGACACCUGCUAUUAUGCGUUUUCUGGCUCUUUGUCAACUGUAGUGGGUUGAAGAAAAGCUAAGCUCGAGAAAGGACAAAUUUUGUCCUUUCUUUUUUGAUGUUCAGAGCGAUAAAAAUCCGUUUUUUGAAGUUUUCAAAGUUUCGAAAACCAAAGGCAUUGUGCUUGAUAAGUUUGAUGAGAUUAUUGGUGGCUUCCAGUUUGGCGUUGGAAUAAGGUAAUUGAAGGGCGUUGACGAUUUUCUCUUUAUCUUUGAGGAAGGUUUUAAACAGAGUCUGAAAAAGAGGUGGAAAAGCAAGAGCUGAUAGAGAUUAUAGUGGUGUUUCAAGUCUUCGGAAUAGCUCAAAAGUUUAUCUAGAAUUUCUUUAUUAGUCAAGUGCAUACGAAAAGUAGGGCGAUAAAAUCGUUUAUCACUCAGUUUCUGACUAUCUUGUUGAAUGAGCUUUCAGUAUCGCUUGAUAGCCUUGUAUUCAUGGGAUUUCGGAUGAUGGCUUGUGUUCUGCUCUCAAGAACAGUUAUGAUAUUGAGCUUAUCAAAGUCUUGAGCAAUAAAGCUCAUCUCCAUCUCCCGAUUGAAACAGUCNAUUGAGUCAAAUGCUUAAUUCUAUAACAUUGAGCUGUGAUGGGGAGCGAAGUUUAGUAGCGAAGUUAGUGACGUCACACUGCCAAGAAAAGCUUCUAGCGUUUAAACAUACUCUACCCGUACCGCAAACCGACACAGGUAGUCGAGGCGAGUAGCCUCAGGUGAGCGAGAGAACUCUCGUUAAGGAACUCGGCAAAAUGACCCCGUAACUUCGGGAGAAGGGGUGCUGACUUAAAGUCAGCCGCAGUGAAUAGGCCCAAGCAACUGUUUAUCAAAAACACAGCUCUCUGCUAAAUCGUAAGAUGAUGUAUAGGGGGUGACGCCUGCCCGGUGCUGGAAGGUUAAGAGGAGUGCUUAGCGUAAGCGAAGGUAUGAAUUGAAGCCCCAGUAAACGGCGGCCGUAACUAUAACGGUCCUAAGGUAGCGAAAUUCCUUGUCGGGUAAGUUCCGACCCGCACGAAAGGCGUAAUGAUUUGGGCACUGUCUCAACGAGAGACUCGGUGAAAUUUUAGUACCUGUGAAGAUGCAGGUUACCCGCGACAGGACGGAAAGACCCCAUGGAGCUUUACUGCAGUUUGAUAUUGAGUGUCUGUACCACAUGUACAGGAUAGGUAGGAGUCUAAGAGAUCGGGACGCCAGUUUCGAAGGAGACGCUGUUGGGAUACUACCCUUGUGUUAUGGCCACUCUAACCCAGAUAGGUGAUCCCUAUCGGAGACAGUGUCUGACGGGCAGUUUGACUGGGGCGGUCGCCUCCUAAAAGGUAACGGAGGCGCCCAAAGGUUCCCUCAGAAUGGUUGGAAAUCAUUCGCAGAGUGUAAAGGUAUAAGGGAGCUUGACUGCGAGAGCUACAACUCGAGCAGGGACGAAAGUCGGGCUUAGUGAUCCGGUGGUUCCGUAUGGAAGGGCCAUCGCUCAACGGAUAAAAGCUACCCUGGGGAUAACAGGCUUAUCUCCCCCAAGAGUUCACAUCGACGGGGAGGUUUGGCACCUCGAUGUCGGCUCGUCGCAUCCUGGGGCUGUAGUCGGUCCCAAGGGUUGGGCUGUUCGCCCAUUAAAGCGGCACGCGAGCUGGGUUCAGAACGUCGUGAGACAGUUCGGUCCCUAUCCGUCGCGGGCGUAGGAAAUUUGAGAGGAUCUGCUCCUAGUACGAGAGGACCAGAGUGGACUUACCGCUGGUGUACCAGUUGUCUUGCCAAAGGCAUCGCUGGGUAGCUAUGUAGGGAAGGGAUAAACGCUGAAAGCAUCUAAGUGUGAAACCCACCUCAAGAUGAGAUUUCCCAUGAUUAUAUAUCAGUAAGAGCCCUGAGAGAUGAUCAGGUAGAUAGGUUAGAAGUGGAAGUGUGGCGACACAUGUAGCGGACUAAUACUAAUAGCUCGAGGACUUAUCCAA
Molecule: ribosomal RNA, 5405 nt
Filed under: Streptococcus pneumoniae
Lineage: Bacteria; Bacillati; Bacillota; Bacilli; Lactobacillales; Streptococcaceae
Description: 23S ribosomal RNA
Rfam family: Bacterial large subunit ribosomal RNA (bases 3643-5404)
Source: RNAcentral